RNAcentral lists this ribosomal RNA (278 nucleotides) under uncultured bacterium. RNAcentral's name for it is "partial 16S ribosomal RNA". It matches the Rfam family "Bacterial small subunit ribosomal RNA", at positions 524 to 796 of the family's 1533-position model. The record is from RNAcentral.
UACGGAGGGUGCGAGCGUUAAUCGGAAUUACUGGGCGUAAAGCGCAUGCAGGUGGUUUGUUAAGUCAGAUGUGAAAGCCCGGGGCUCAACCUCGGAAUAGCAUUUGAAACUGGCAGACUAGAGUACUGUAGAGGGGGGGUAGAAUUUCAGGUGUAGCGGUGAAAUGCGUAGAGAUCUGAAGGAAUACCGGUGGCGAAGGCGGCCCCCUGGACAGAUACUGACACUCAGAUGCGAAAAGCGUGGGGGAGCAAAACAGGAUUAGAUACCCGCGAUAGUCC